AAGGGUCCGUAGGCGGUUUGGUAAGUCAGUGGUGAAAGCCCAUCCGCUCAACGGUGGAACGGCCAUUGAUACUGCCAGACUUGAAUUAUUAGGAAGUAACUAGAAUAUGUAGUGUAGCGGUGAAAUGCUUAGAGAUUACAUGGAAUACCAAUUGCGAAGGCAGGUUACUACUAAUGGAUUGACGCUGAUGGACGAAAGCGUGGGUAGCGAACAGGAUUAGAUACCCCAGU
RNAcentral lists this ribosomal RNA (230 nucleotides) under uncultured bacterium. RNAcentral describes it as "partial 16S ribosomal RNA". It matches the Rfam family "Bacterial small subunit ribosomal RNA", at positions 563 to 791 of the family's 1533-position model. The record is from RNAcentral.